RNAcentral lists this ribosomal RNA (253 nucleotides) under uncultured bacterium. RNAcentral's name for it is "partial 16S ribosomal RNA". It matches the Rfam family "Bacterial small subunit ribosomal RNA", at positions 524 to 776 of the family's 1533-position model. The record is from RNAcentral.
UACAGAGACUGCGAGCGUUAUUCGGAUUCACUGGGCGUAAAGGGUGCGCAGGUGGCCAGGUGUGUGAGGCGUGAAAGCCCGGGGCUUAACCCCGGAAUUGCACCUCAAACUACUUGGCUAGAGCAUUGGAGAGGGGAGCAGAAUUCAUGGUGUAGCAGUGAAAUGCGUAGAUAUCAUGAGGAAUACCAGAGGCGAAGGCGGCUCCCUGGACAAUUGCUGACACUCAGGCACGAAAGCGUGGGGAGCAAAAGGG